UUAAUUUAUUAAUAUAAAAUAUAAUAAAUAUAACAAAUAUAGGUGAUAUGAUUUGAAAAUAUUGUUCAAUACAAUUGACAUUAAAGUAUGGUAGCUAAAGAGCUAAUAUUGUAAUAGGAAGAAUAAAGAUAAUUAACAUCUUAAUCCUAACUAUAAAUAGUAUAUAUAAAGCUAAGAGAAUUGAAACAUCUUAGUAUCUUAGUUAAUAUAACCAAUAGGGUGUAUGUAAGUAUCGGUGAGAGAAAGCAUAUAAGCAUAUAAGUAAUAUUUAAUAAUAUGAAUAAAGUAGUUCUACUACUAAUGCUAAUAAACAAUAUUAAGUUUAAAGUACUGUGAAGGAAAUAGUUAAGACUAUAUAUUAUAAUAUCAACUUUACUAAGUAAACUAUCCGUCGAGAGCACCCCUCCUUCGGAGGGGUGCUUAAUGAAAAUAAAGUUUAUUUUUUAAUAAAAAAAGUAUGAUAAUAUAUUUAUAUUAGUUAAUAAAUACUUUAAUGGAGAGCAGCUAUAGUAUAGCGUACCUCUUGUAUAAUGGGUCAGUGAGUUAUUUGUAUAAGCGUAAUUAAGAAUUAAAUAUAAUUAGUUUAAAGUUUAUAUAAAUAGACUCGAAACCAUAUGAUUUAUAUAUGUAUAAGUAUAUUAAUAUUAAUAUAUAUAAUAAUAAUAUGACUUAAAUAGGUAGAUGUAGCAAUAUCUUCUAUAGAUACGUGUAUAGUAGUGAAAGACAAAUCUGAUAUGGAGAUAGCUGGUUGUCUGUGAAAUAUAUUUUAGUAUAGCCUAUAUAUAAUGUAAUACUUGGUAAAGCUCUGAAUAAUAUAUGGGGGUAUUUAUAUUUACUAUAUUUAUUUAAUCUCUGAACAAGUUAUUAUUUUCUAAAGUAUAUAGAGUCAGACAUAUUGCGAUAAGGUAGUAUGUCGAAAAGGAAACAGCCUAAACUAUUAAAUGAAGGUCCCUUAUUAAGAACUAAGUGAAUAUAAUCCUUGAUAUCUGAUUAGACAAUUAGUCAGUGGGUUUGACAAUAAUCAUCUGUUAAUGAACAUGUAACAAUACACUAAUAGAAUAUCUAUAUUGAGGAAUUAAUAAUCGGGUCUAAGUUCUUAACCGAAUUAUAGAUGUAUAUAUAUAUAAAAUAAAAUAUAAAAUAUACAUAGUAACAGACUACAUAAUAUAAUAAUAAUUAUGAAGAAUAUGCUGACUUGAGUAACGAUAGAUAAUAUAAGAUUAUCAUUACUAAAUACAUAAGGUUUUAAUAUAAAUUAACGGUGUCUAAAUUUAUAUAAGAAGUUAUAUAUAUGAUGACAAAUAAAACAAGAAAUAAUAAUAACCGUACUGUAAACCGACACAGGUAUGUAUAAAUUAUAUAUAGAAUAUAAUAUAAACUAUAUAUAGUAUCUUUCUACGUUUCCUUUAAUAAGGUACGUAAUUAAUUAGAUUAGUAAUAAUGAAUUAACUAUGCUUAAUGAACUCGGCAAAUAAUAGUACGACUGUUUACCAAAAACAUAGCUUAUUGCAGAUACGAGAGUAUUAGUAUAAUAAGUGAUAUCUGUCCACUGUUAGUUAGAUAAUAAAUAAUGAGCUAAUAAAUGACGGUCUUAUCAUGAGGAUCUGAUAGUAGCAAAAUUCAUUGGCAUAUAAUUGGUGUCCUGCAUGAAUGAUAACACGAUACUAUAGCUGUAUCAAGCAUAGGUUCAGUGAAAUAGUAAUCGCAGUGAAGAUACUGUGUGACCAUAGAUUGACAAAAAGACCCUAUGCAGCUUUACUAUAACUUUAUAUUGAUAAUAAUAUUGAUUAAUAAGUAUAUAUUAUAUUAAUAAAUAUAAUAGCUUAACUAUUAAUAGAUUAUCUAAUUCAUAGAAUAAUAAUAUAUAUAUAAACACUUUUUAUAAUAAAGAGUAAGAUAUAUAUAUAUUUCAGUGCUCCUUCGUUCCAGAAGGAGAAGAAGACAUUAUAAAGUGGUUAGUUUCGAUGGGGCGUCGACAUCAUAGAAUACAACUGAUGUGUCUAAAUGAUACUUUAUAAACCUUUUAAUUAUUAGUUUAUAAUUAGUUUAUAAUUUCUACGCUCCCCCUCCUUCGGAGGGGGGCAAGAAUCUAAUUAUAUAAUUAGAAGUUAAUUUCUUAAAAUAUAAGAAUAUAAUAGAAUGACCAUGUACAGUAAUACUAGCCGGCAACUAGUAAAAUAUUAAUAAUAAGGAUAAUAACAUAACUGUGCAAUGAUAGUGAUACCCACGAGUAGAGCUAGUACUUAUGUAUAGUAUAAUGAACAGGCAAUAACUAUAGAGUAGUAUGUCGAUAACGGAUCAAAGUUACGCUAGGGAUAACAGGGUAAUACUGCUAGAGAGUAGAUAUCGUCAGCAGUGUUUGCCACCUCGAUGUCGUCUAGACUUAACCUAUUGGUAGCAGACGCUAAUAAGGGUACGACUGUUCGUCGUUUAAUAAGUUACUUGAGAUGGGUUAAUUACGACGUGAGUCAGUAAGGAUUUUAUCAUCUAUGGUAUAAUAACUUUAUAUAACUAUAUGUGUACGAGAGGAUUGUAUAGUAUAGUCCAAUGGUGUAUAAAUAUAAUAUAGAUUAUAGUUAAUAACUCUUACACUAUAUUAAUAACUAAGACUAUUAAGAAUAAAUACUGAUCGCUUAUCAAGUAUGAAAUCUUAUAUAAAGUUAAUAAUUAAUAACAUUAUAGAUAAUAAUGUAAUAGUUUUAUAUUGAACUGUUUAUUUUUUAAUAAUUAAAUAAAUAAUGGUUCUAUUAAUAUACUAAUUAUAACUUAU
This is a non-coding RNA of Lodderomyces oxycetoniae, 2770 nucleotides long. NCBI's taxonomy places the organism in Eukaryota, Fungi, Ascomycota, Pichiomycetes, Serinales, Debaryomycetaceae. The record is from the annotation of a RefSeq genome assembly.